This 23-nucleotide non-coding RNA is filed under the name Arabidopsis thaliana (thale cress). The record is from RNAcentral. Lineage: Eukaryota; Viridiplantae; Streptophyta; Magnoliopsida; Brassicales; Brassicaceae.
AACCACUUGUUGGAUGGACUCCA